UGGGGAAUUUUGGACAAUGGGCGAAAGCCUGAUCCAGCAAUGCCGCGUGUGUGAAGAAGGCCUUCGGGUUGUAAAGCACUUUUGUCCGGAAAGAAAUCCUUGGCUCUAAUACAGUCGGGGGAUGACGGUACCGGAAGAAUAAGCACCGGCUAACUACGUGCCAGCAGCCGCGGUAAUACGUAGGGUGCAAGCGUUAAUCGGAAUUACUGGGCGUAAAGCGUGCGCAGGCGGUUUGCUAAGACCGAUGUGAGAUCCCCGGGCUCAACCUGGGAACUGCAUUGGUGACUGGCAGGCUAGAGUAUGGCAGAGGGGGGUAGAAUUCCACUGUAGCAGUGAAAUGCGUAGAGAUGUGGAGGAAUACCGAUGGCGAAGGCAGCCCCCUGGGGCCAAUACUGACGCUCAUGCACGAAAGCGUGGGGAGCAAACAGGAUUAGAUACCCUGGUAGUCCACGCCCUAAACGAUGUCAACUAGUUGUUGGGGAUUCAUUUCCUUAGUAACGUAGCUAACGCGUGAAGUUGACCGCCUGGGGAGUACGGUCGCAAGAUUAAAACUCAAAUGAAUUGACGGGGUCAUAGCU
This 578-nucleotide ribosomal RNA is filed under the name uncultured bacterium. RNAcentral describes it as "partial 16S ribosomal RNA". It matches the Rfam family "Bacterial small subunit ribosomal RNA", at positions 355 to 926 of the family's 1533-position model. The record is from RNAcentral.